Molecule: long non-coding RNA, 762 nt
Filed under: Prunus dulcis (almond)
Lineage: Eukaryota; Viridiplantae; Streptophyta; Magnoliopsida; Rosales; Rosaceae
Source: RNAcentral
GAGUGGAAAAUCCCGCCCAUCCUCAGAUGCAAGAAUCAUCAGCAAUGGGCCUUCAAGGCGUCAGUCUCUUGGUGGAGCUGAGAACUUCUCUAGAGCAUCCUUUAAUGGCUAUCUAUCUAGGACAAAAUCGAAUUUACAAUCUGGUUUCAACCGUUCCAACACUGCUACUGCAAUAUUGAAACAAGCCAAGAGUUCAUCUAGAUCGUUUGAUGGUGGUAGUAGAUUGCUAGACAGAGAUACGCUAGUACCAUAUGCAACUGGGAAAGAUAACACAAACAGUGCCAGUGAUCAGACUCAGAUGGAUGAGACAAUUGGUAGACAUGAGGAGAGGGCAAAUGGAUCUUUGGCUGAACAAUCCAGGACAGAGCAUGAAGAUUAUGUUUCUGGAGUGCUGUAUGAUAUGUUACAGAAAGAGGUCGUAUCUUUGAGGAAAGCUUGCCAUGAGAAAGAUCAAACCCUCAAGGACAAGGAUGAUGCAAUUGAGGUUAGCUAGUAGGACCUAUCUCAUUAAUUUUGCAACCUCUCUCCACUCUUGUUUUGCUCUUAAUUUGUUUCUUGUGUGGAAUCAAGUAGAUGUUGGCAAAGAAGGUGGAUACACUUAACAAAGCAAUGGAGGUUGAGGCCAAAAAGAUGCAGAGAGAAGUAGCUGCCAUGGAAAAAGAAGUCUCUGCUAUGCGUGUCACCAAGGAGCUUGAUCAGAGGGCACGGCGCUCAAGUGCUCUCCGAGGGGUUGUAAAUAGCUCUCAUACACUUUCUUCUAGG